Non-coding RNA from Pseudoneurospora amorphoporcata, 87 nucleotides. Lineage: Eukaryota; Fungi; Ascomycota; Sordariomycetes; Sordariales; Sordariaceae. The record is from the annotation of a GenBank genome assembly.
GCCCGUAUAGCUCAGUGGUAGAGCGCAUCACUCGUAUUCCAAAUCUGCGACAUGAUGAGGUCCGCGGUUCAAUCCCGCGUGGGGGCA